Molecule: ribosomal RNA, 468 nt
Filed under: uncultured bacterium
Lineage: Bacteria
Description: partial 16S ribosomal RNA
Rfam family: Bacterial small subunit ribosomal RNA
Source: RNAcentral
GACGAACGCUGGCGGCGUGCUUAACACAUGCAACUCGAACGGAAAGGCCCUGCUUUUGUGGGGUGCUCGAGUGGCGAACGGGUGAGUAACACGUGAGUAACCUGCCCUUGACUUUGGGAUAACUUCAGGAAACUGGGGCUAAUACCGGAUAGGAGCUCCUGCUGCAUGGUGGGGGUUGGAAAGUUUCGGCGGUUGGGGAUGGACUCGCGGCUUAUCAGCUUGUUGGUGGGGUAGUGGCUUACCAAGGCUUUGACGGGUAGCCGGCCUGAGAGGGUGACCGGCCACAUUGGGACUGAGAUACAGCCCAGACUCCUACGGGAGGCAGCAGUGGAGAAUAUUGCACAAUGGGCGGAAGCCUGAUGCAGCAACGCCGCGUGCGGGAUGACGGCCUUCGGGUUGUAAACCGCUUUCGCCUGUGACGAAGCGUGAGUGACGGUAAUGGGUAAAGAAGCACCGGCUAACUACGUG